GACGAACGCUGGCGGCGUGCCUAAUACAUGCAAGUAGAACGCUCAAGGAGGAGCUUUCUCUUCUUGAUGAGUUGCGAACGGGUGAGUAACGCGUAUGUAACCUGCCUGUUAGCGGGGGAUAACUCUUGGAAACGAUAGCUAAUACCGCAUAACAGUAGAUGUUGCAUGACAUUUACUUAAAAGGUGCAAUUGCAUCACUACCAGUUGGUCCUGCGUUGGAUUAUCUAGUUGGUGGGGUAACGGCUCACCAAGGCGACGAUACAUAGCCGACCUGGUAGGGGGAACGGCCAAACUGGGACUGGGAAACGGCCCAGACUCCUAAGGGAGGGAGCAGGAGGGAAACUUCGGGAAAGGACGGAAGGCUGAACGAGGAAAGGCGGGGGAGUGAAGAAGGUUUUCGGAUCGUAAAGAUCCGUUGUAAGAGAAGAACGAGUGGGAGAGUGGAAAGUUCACAUUGUGACGGUAUCUUACCAGAAAGAGACGGCUAACUACGUG
RNAcentral lists this ribosomal RNA (495 nucleotides) under uncultured bacterium. RNAcentral's name for it is "partial 16S ribosomal RNA". It matches the Rfam family "Bacterial small subunit ribosomal RNA", at positions 28 to 507 of the family's 1533-position model. The record is from RNAcentral.